AUUGAACGCUGGCGGCAGGCUUAACACAUGCAAGUCGAGCGGAAACGAUGGUAGCUUGCUACCAGGCGUCGAGCGGCGGACGGGUGAGUAACACUUAGGAAUCUACCUAGUAGUGGGGGAUAGCACGGGGAAACUCGUAUUAAUACCGCAUACGACCUACGGGAGAAAGGGGGCAGUUUACUGCUCUCGCUAUUAGAUGAGCCUAAGUCGGAUUAGCUAGAUGGUGGGGUAAAGGCCUACCAUGGCGACGAUCUGUAGCUGGUCUGAGAGGAUGAUCAGCCACACCGGGACUGAGACACGGCCCGGACUCCUACGGGAGGCAGCAGUGGGGAAUAUUGGACAAUGGGGGAAACCCUGAUCCAGCCAUGCCGCGUGUGUGAAGAAGGCCUUUUGGUUGUAAAGCACUUUAAGCAGUGAAGAAGACUCUUCGGUUAAUACCCGGAGACGAUGACAUUAGCUGCAGAAUAAGCACCGGCUAACUCUGUGCCAGCAGCCGCGGUAAUACAGAGGGUGCAAGCGUUAAUCGGAAUUACUGGGCGUAAAGCGAGCGUAGGUGGCUUGAUAAGUCAGAUGUGAAAUCCCCGGGCUUAACCUGGGAACUGCAUCUGAAACUGUUAGGCUAGAGUAGGUGAGAGGGAAGUAGAAUUUCAGGUGUAGCGGUGAAAUGCGUAGAGAUCUGAAGGAAUACCGAUGGCGAAGGCAGCUUCCUGGCAUCAUACUGACACUGAGGCUCGAAAGCGUGGGUAGCAAACAGG
Molecule: ribosomal RNA, 755 nt
Filed under: uncultured bacterium
Lineage: Bacteria
Description: bacterial SSU rRNA
Rfam family: Bacterial small subunit ribosomal RNA
Source: RNAcentral